AAAUGUAUUAAGUUUUGUAUAAAUCUUUUAAUACAAUCAUGUUUUAGGAAUUCAACAUGGGGAGAUCAGUUCCAAAAUGAACGAUGGAUGAGUUAAUGAGUUUCGUUCUUUUCAUGUUACAUUUUGCACAGGGACACCUUUGUUUCCAUGUUUUGAUGUUUUGAUUGAAACUUAAAGAGGUACUUGAAAGCUCAAAUUGAUGGUCAGAGGUUUUGUAGAAAAGUUAUCUUUAUAAAGACUGAUUGAUGCGCUCGACUUACAGGGUCAACGUCCUUCAUUAAUCAUAGUAUAUUAUUGCACUUGUUCAGUUGAAAUGUCUUUGCGAUCAUGCAUCUAUGUGUCUGAGCCACAACACAUUACAUGAGAUAAAGACUGCUCUUUGAUUCAGUCCUAAAAGUGGAUAUAUUGGUAAAAAAAAAGAUGUUAUUGAUAUCCAUUAUAACAGCAAAGAAUGCUAACCAACAACGGUGAUAUUGGUAAUGGUGGUCCAUGAUUUAUUAUUGCUUCUAUGAUUGAUGACAACUUCAUGAGUAAAUUGCAACCACUUUCUAGGAGACACCCUUAAUAAAUGUAUUCAAAGGCCCAAUGCAGUCAAAAAAAUGAUUUUUCUGUGUUUCAUAUAUAUUUCCGCACAAUGAGUUUGGAAUAAUACUGUGAAAUUGUGAAAUUUAUGAUAAUGCCCUUUUUGUGUAAGAGCUGUUUUAAAAGACCGCCUGAAAUUUCUGCCUGUUUUGGUGGGAUGGAGUUUUGGCCGUAAAUUAGUUAAAUUAGUUAAAAGUUAAAAGAAAGCGAGUUCCAAAUCUCUCUGCCAAAAACAGCUAGUUUUCAGUUUUCCCUUCCCCACUCAGACCACUCUCAGACAGUCCAAGAAAAAUUAUUGCUUGAGAAAUUGCUCUUUGCUGAGAAGCUAUUUUUGUUUAUUUUUGACCAUUUUAAUUGAAAACAAUCACAGUAACCUACUUGUUGCCCAGAAAAGAUUUGAUAUUGAGAUAAAAACAGCUGAAUUGGACCUUUAAAAACACCAUUAUAAUGCAAUGUAAGUGUCAAUGUCAGCCCCCUAUAAUGCCGUUAUCUUUUAAACAUCAGCCAACUGCAGUAACCUACCCUUACAUAGUAUGUACUUAUUACUAAUUACAUUUCCUCUACAAAUUGUCAUAACCAUGUGACUUGCUCCUGCUGAAGAUGACUCUACUAAUGGAUUAUAAAUGUAUUCUUAAUCCAGUUUAUCGUUCAUACACUUCAUGUGAGUAUGAAUAUGGGUAAAUAGAGAGAAUGAUUCACGUAAGACCUAUGUGGAAGUAAGUUAGUCUGUGGAGUCCACGAGACAGAGCUCCGUGAGUCAAGUUCACUUCAGACAUCCCUUUUGAUAGUCAACCUGAGGGUGCUAUAGUCAUUGACCUGAUCUCACAGGUGGAAUGUGGACUUCUACUAGACUAGAGGUCCACAUUCCAUAUGACUACUCAUGUCCGUGUCUAAAGCUUUGUGUCAGCAGCUUAUUGCCAAUAUAGCAAAGCUUUAGAUGGAUCGACAGCUUCUACUAUUUUUCUUUAGUCAAUUAUGCUUACUGAUACAAAGGAAACCGGAAUUUUAAGCACAAAUCUGCUGCUCACCAACAGUCAGUUCAUACUGUAAUAUCAAAUGUUAAAGUUUAUCUGUAAUUAUUUACAUACAGAACACUAACAUGUCACAUGCUAGAAUGCAGAAUAAUUUUCGUAUGAAUAUUUGGGAAUUCAUGAAUUUAUUAAACUGCUACAAUUAUAAUUUAUUUUGAGUAAUGCUUUGAUGAAAAUGAUUUUAUACAAAAUGUAUUUCCUUCUCUCCUUUCCCCUGUCCCCUCUUGCAAACUUUCCAACUUAAUUUUGGUACCACAUGGCAUGAUUUUUGUUGAUCUAUAAUUUUUGUUGUAUGUUUAAAAUCACAAGUUGCUAUGAUAUUUCAUUUGAAAUUGUGACGUUUGUACGAUUUUUAUCAUGCUGGUGUUAACAUCUCUUACUCUGAAUAAAACUUGUGUUGCAACA
This 2018-nucleotide long non-coding RNA is filed under the name Salmo salar (Atlantic salmon). RNAcentral's name for it is "lncRNA (ENSSSAG00000088421.1)". The record is from RNAcentral. Lineage: Eukaryota; Metazoa; Chordata; Actinopteri; Salmoniformes; Salmonidae.